CCUACGGGUGGCAGCAGUGGGGAAUAUUGGACAAUGGGGGGAACCCUGAUCCAGCCAUGCCGCGUGUGUGAAGAAGGCCCUCGGGUUGUAAAGCACUUUCAGUGAGGAAGAACGCCUGGUGGUUAAUACCCAUCAGGAAAGACAUCACUCACAGAAGAAGCACCGGCUAACUCCGUGCCAGCAGCCGCGGUAAUACGGAGGGUGCGAGCGUUAAUCGGAAUUACUGGGCGUAAAGCGCGCGUAGGUGGCUUGAUAAGCCGGUUGUGAAAGCCCCGGGCUCAAACUGGGAACGGCAUCCGGAACUGUCAAGCUAGAGUGCAGGAGAGGAAGGUAGAAUUCCCGGUGUAGCGGUGAAAUGCGUAGAGAUCGGGAGGAAUACCAGUGGCGAAGGCGGCCUUCUGGACUGACACUGACACUGAGGUGCGAAAGCGUGGGUAGCAAACAGGAUUAGAUACCCCAGUAGUC
This 465-nucleotide ribosomal RNA is filed under the name Vreelandella stevensii. RNAcentral's name for it is "partial 16S ribosomal RNA". It matches the Rfam family "Bacterial small subunit ribosomal RNA", at positions 338 to 795 of the family's 1533-position model. Lineage: Bacteria; Pseudomonadati; Pseudomonadota; Gammaproteobacteria; Oceanospirillales; Halomonadaceae. The record is from RNAcentral.